GCCGACGAUGCUCAGUCCUAAGUAGUUGAGGAAUGAUAGGAUGAGAGUGAAGCCAAUGAUUGUGCCGUCUCUAGGGGCGCCGCCCGAGAUAGCGGGUGCGGCGCGGGCGAGGUAGUCGGCGCAGAGGACGGGGUAGGCGGCGCUGUUGAUGACGCCGCUGAUAAACUUCCAGGAGCCCAUGAGGGAGCCGAAGAAGGGGCCGAAGGCGCGGUCGGCCCAGACGACGUAGCCGCCGUUUCCGGGGAGGGCGGUG
Molecule: unclassified non-coding RNA, 253 nt
Filed under: Hevea brasiliensis (rubber tree)
Lineage: Eukaryota; Viridiplantae; Streptophyta; Magnoliopsida; Malpighiales; Euphorbiaceae
Source: RNAcentral